Long non-coding RNA from Trichosurus vulpecula (common brushtail), 973 nucleotides. RefSeq lists it as uncharacterized. Lineage: Eukaryota; Metazoa; Chordata; Mammalia; Diprotodontia; Phalangeridae. The record is from RefSeq and is a predicted model, not a curated record. The transcript is spliced from 4 exons.
AAGGGUUGGUAGAGACUUACUAAAAUCAUUUCAUCUCUCACCCUCCUUCAAAGCUGUACCUCAACCAGCAUUUUUCCUGUUAUUCAGCAUUUGCUUGGGCUCAAUAAUCUAGAGCCAGAUGGGAACUUACUGGUCAUCUAGUCCAGCCCUCUUAUUUUACAGUUUCAUGAGACUGCUGAAGAGGUUCACGACACCAAAAGAAAUUAAGAACUCCUGGAUUAGAUGGUAUCUGAGGACCCUUGCAGCUGUAGUCCUAAGGAGAUCAAAGGAAGAACCUGGGCAGGGAAUAGACCUUUCCUUCAUUAGCCUCUGUGAUGUUCUGUUUUAUAUCCUGCCCUUUGUCCCUGCCCUUUGGGAGCCAUCUGGGAUGACCCCACGACCGGCAGAUGGAGGCUUGCUUGCUCUUCUUAUAUUUCGCUGAAAGGUACCGUGCUAAGGGGCCAAAUGAGAUCCUGGAGAGUCAACACCCACCACUGAAACAACUUAACAACAACAACCGUGCUAAGACAGUAUACACCACCGUGAAGCUGCUUCCUGGUACUCCUAAAUACUCGGCAUGGAAUUGCAAUUACUUAAGGUGCCCAACUAUUGCAAUUAAAGUGACAACGUGACGACCAAGAAGGGAAGGAAAUGUUCCUGAGCAAAGCAACGUCUCUGUCUCCCUCCCGGCUCAGUCCCGCAGCAUCCCAAGCUCCUGACGCAGGCUGCCUCUUCUCUUUUCUCUUCAUAUUCUCUCAGAUGACUCAUUUGCCCUUAGUUUCAAUAAUCGCUUCCCUUUGGAUGAGUCCCAAACCUGUAUCUCCCCAGCCCUGACCUCUUUCCUUAACUCCAGUCCUGUAUUUUCAGCUACAGGCUUGGAGGUUCUGCCCGGCCUCAGACUCAAAUCACCUAAGUGCAAAUUGACUAUGAAUCCCACCCACCCCUUCAAACCACAGCAGCAGCAGCAGCAGCAGCAGCAGCAGCAACAAUAAAG